GGAGAUAUGGCUCAGAGGUUAAGAGCACUGACUGUUCUUCCAGAGGUCCUGAGUUCAAAUCCCAGCAACUACA
RNAcentral lists this transfer RNA (73 nucleotides) under Rattus norvegicus (Norway rat). It matches the Rfam family "tRNA". Rfam says of the family: Transfer RNA (tRNA) molecules are approximately 80 nucleotides in length. Their secondary structure includes four short double-helical elements and three loops (D, anti-codon, and T loops). The record is from Rfam by way of RNAcentral. Lineage: Eukaryota; Metazoa; Chordata; Mammalia; Rodentia; Muridae.